Molecule: ribosomal RNA, 408 nt
Filed under: uncultured bacterium
Lineage: Bacteria
Description: bacterial SSU rRNA
Rfam family: Bacterial small subunit ribosomal RNA
Source: RNAcentral
UGGGGAAUAUUGCACAAUGGGCGAAAGCCUGAUGCAGCGACGCCGCGUGAGGGAUGACGGCCUUCGGGUUGUAAACCUCUUUCAGUAGGGAAGAAGCGAAAGUGACGGUACCUGCAGAAGAAGCGCCGGCUAACUACGUGCCAGCAGCCGCGGUAAUACGUAGGGCGCAAGCGUUAUCCGGAAUUAUUGGGCGUAAAGAGCUCGUAGGCGGUUUGUCGCGUCUGCCGUGAAAGUCCGGGGCUCAACUCCGGAUCUGCGGUGGGUACGGGCAGACUAGAGUGAUGUAGGGGAGACUGGAAUUCCUGGUGUAGCGGUGAAAUGCGCAGAUAUCAGGAGGAACACCGAUGGCGAAGGCAGGUCUCUGGGCAUUAACUGACGCUGAGGAGCGAAAGCAUGGGGAGCGAACAG